RNAcentral lists this ribosomal RNA (447 nucleotides) under uncultured bacterium. RNAcentral's name for it is "bacterial SSU rRNA". It matches the Rfam family "Bacterial small subunit ribosomal RNA", at positions 335 to 800 of the family's 1533-position model. The record is from RNAcentral.
ACUCCUACGGGAGGCAGCAGUGGGGAAUCUUAGACAAUGGGCGCAAGCCUGAUCUAGCCAUGCCGCGUGAGUGAUGAAGGUCUUAGGAUCGUAAAGCUCUUUCGCUGGGGAAGAUAAUGACGGUACCCAGUAAAGAAACCCCGGCUAACUCCGUGCCAGCAGCCGCGGUAAUACGGAGGGGUUAGCGUUGUUCGGAAUUACUGGGCGUAAAGCGCACGUAGGCGGAUCGGAAAGUUGGGGGUGAAAUCCCGGGGCUCAACCUCGGAACUGCCUUCAAAACUAUCGGUCUAGAGUUCGAGAGAGGUGAGUGGAAUUGCGAGUGUAGAGGUGAAAUUCGUAGAUAUUCGCAGGAACACCAGUGGCGAAGGCGGCUCACUGGCUCGAUACUGACGCUGAGGUGCGAAAGUGUGGGGAGCAAACAGGAUUAGAUACCCUGGUAGGCUCUGC